Panicum virgatum (switchgrass) is the source of this 2148-nucleotide RNA transcript. It is a transcript of the gene named mitochondrial fission protein ELM1-like, with no coding region annotated. NCBI's taxonomy places the organism in Eukaryota, Viridiplantae, Streptophyta, Magnoliopsida, Poales, Poaceae. The record is from RefSeq and is a predicted model, not a curated record. The transcript is spliced from 13 exons.
AAUUCACAUCGGCGGCGGCGCCUCGCCGUCUCCUCCGCGCUCCCCGGCGCGGCGGUUCCCUCCCUCCCGCCGGGCGGGCAGCAGAGAGACAGAUGCAACCAAGCAAAAGGCGGGCCUAAAAAAAUGCAAAAGCAAACUUGCUUCGCAAGACUGGCUUGCUCUCCACGACUCGCAUGGAUGCUCCUCCUCCUCGCUGAUUCACUCGACGGACCGACCGGCCCCUCGCACCCAGCGCCGCCCUCCCGUUUCUGAGCCCUGAGCCGCAGAGAGGGGGUGACCCGACGCGCCGAUGCGACCGAUACGACUGUCGGAGCCGGAGCCGGAGCCUCCGGGCGGGGCCACGCCGGAGAUCUUCGCCGCGGGCGGCGGCGCGGCGGUGGUGCGCCGCGCCGUCGUCAUCGGCAACGGCUGCGCCGGCGCGGAGAGCCAGUGCUUCGGCCUCCUCCGCGCGCUGGGCCUCGCCGACCGCUUCACGCUCUACCGUGCUAUCAGACCAACAGGAGGAAUCAACAAGUGGCUGCAUUUUCUUCCGUUCUCCUUCCGCAAAACACUGGACCAAUUUCACAGGCGGGUAUUUUCUGAUACGAGAUUUGCAGCAUUGGUUAAAGGAAACAAGUUCGUGCAGUAUCCUGUCCGUAACUGUCAAUCAUUUGGACUGUCUUCUGUACUGGAAGCAGAUACUCAAAAGAUGGUUACCAUGGUCUGUGAUACCUUUGAAAAAGAAGGUCCUGCACUGGUUGUUGCUUGUGGCCGAGAUACCAUAUCAUAUGCAAGUUCCAUAAGGUGUUUAGCUCCAGAUAGUGUGUUUGUCAUUCAGAUACAACAUCCCAGGUUUCACCUUGAUAGGUUUGAUUUAGUCGUGACGCCUCGUCAUGACUACUAUGCUUUUACUGCAAAGGGACAACAGGAAGUUCCACGCCUUCUCCGGAGAUGGAUUACUCCACAAGAACCACCUGGUCCUAACGUGGUCCUCACAGCUGGUGCACUACACCAAGCAGAUUCUGCUGCUUUACGUUCUGCCGCUGCAGAUUGGCAUGCUGAACUGACUCCUUUGCCGAAGCCAUUGGUAGUAGUAAACAUUGGUGGGCCAACAAGAAACUGUAAAUAUGAUGUGGACCUUGCCAAGCAGCUGGUAAACUCGCUGCACAAUGUUCUGAAGACAUGUGGAAGUGUCAGAAUUUCAUUUUCUAGGAGAACGCCACAAAAGGUGUCUGAUCUCAUAUUGAAAGAGUUCAGUACACAUCCUAAGAUUUAUAUUUGGGAUGGUGAAGGUCCUAAUCCGCACCUGGGCCAUCUUGCAUGGGCUGAUGCUUUCAUCAUAACAGCAGACUCUAUAAGCAUGCUAAGUGAGGCAUGCAGUACUGGGAAGCCUGUCUACGUCAUUGGAGCCGAGCACUGCAGGUGGAAGUUCUCAGAUUUUCACAACCGUCUUCAUGAGCGUAGGGCUGUCCGGCCUUUCACUGGACUGGAAGAUAUGUCAGAUAGCUGGAGCUAUCCUCCCCUGAAUGACGCUGCUGAUGUGGCUGCAAGGGUUCGUGAAGCGCUUGCACAACGUGGAUGGAGGCUGGGUUAACUGUACAGAGAAGAGAAUGAAAUUUAUGGCAAACUUGACUGAUUGCACGAUUUGCAUGAAGCGCAACCGGUUCCACAUGAAGUUUGAGCAACCAUACAUCCGAUUCCAAAGGUAAAUACUCAUCAGUCAUCACUGAAAGAGUUGGUCAUGGCCUAAAGGGACAUCUGCCAUCGUGGGCUGUGACUGUGCUGAGUUUAUCCUCAGACGCCAUUGCUCCGUUGUGCUGCGACGAAUGUGUAAAUCCUUUCGUGGCCUGAGAAAUUAGGGAGGCCACGUUAGGUGGCGGCCCAGCAUAAAGUAAGCCCUGCUUUGCCGAAGGGUAAUAGAUCUAAUCUAAGCUUGGCUGGUGCUGCUCUUGUUUAUCCCGGUGCCGUUGGGUCGUUUAGUUCCCAAAUGAAAAAAAUUUGGGUGUCACGUCAACGGUUUGACCAGAUGUCGGGAGGGUUUUUCGGAUACUAAUUAAAAAACUAAUUUCAGAACUCACUUGGAAACUGCGAGACGAAUCUUUUGAGGCCUUUGACCGCAUCAUUAGCACAUGUGAGUUAUUGUAGCACUUAUAGCUAAUCAUACACUAA